Molecule: long non-coding RNA, 841 nt
Filed under: Homo sapiens (human)
Lineage: Eukaryota; Metazoa; Chordata; Mammalia; Primates; Hominidae
Description: non-protein coding lnc-MBNL2-4:1
Source: RNAcentral
GUUGGCAGCAGGCUGUUGUGAGAGCAAGAAGCCCAAAUUAUCUGGAAGUGAAACACACAGUCACAAGAAUGAGUCCACAGCCGUCCCCAGCCCUAGGUCAGGACCUCUUCAAAACUGCCAGCAUGUAGACAGCAGCAGCAGAUAGGAGAGUGUGUUGGACUUAACUCUGGGACCUGGAAGUGCUCCCAUCACACGAAUGAAUCCAGCAUCAGGAGCACUGAGCCCUCUCCCCCAGUCUAAUGGAAUGGCAGCUCCACAAAGAAUCCGGAGGUGACUGCACAGAUGUGCUGCUACUGCUUUACCAAACUCCACUGUCAGCUCUAUGGCUUUCCACAGCCACGACUUCCUAGAUUCACCAAUGACCCCUGUCUGCUCUUUGUGACAUGGAAGACAGGGAGGGACAAGUGGCUUCAUGGCUGCAUUGGGACCUUCUCAGCCAUGAAUCUUUAUUCAGGUCUCAGGGAAUACGUUAGCCAUUGCAUUUAAGGACAGCUGAUAUCUCCUCCAAUCUGAGAGGGGCUGCGUAAGCUUUUCUGCUCUGUCUCCCUCCAUACUAACUUUGAGGAUGCUAGUGAUUACCUGGACUGGGAGAUAGGGGUCCAUGGGAUUUAAACUGAAUUCAUUAAGGAAAAAGGCAUCAAACGUACCGCCUCAUUUUCACCUGAGUCCUUGCUCAGGAAAGGUAGCUUUAAGGAUCCAAUUACCAGUGAAUUUGGAAAAAUGGUCAAACUCACCAGUUACUAAAGUGAGAAGGUGACAAUCAGUUUUGCAGAGUAUAUUGCUUAUUGACAGCACUGUUUCCAGAACCAUACUCUUCAUGCCCCGCCCCCUACAAUCAUUA